This 816-nucleotide ribosomal RNA is filed under the name uncultured Verrucomicrobiota bacterium. RNAcentral's name for it is "bacterial SSU rRNA". It matches the Rfam family "Bacterial small subunit ribosomal RNA", at positions 715 to 1532 of the family's 1533-position model. Lineage: Bacteria; Pseudomonadati; Verrucomicrobiota. The record is from RNAcentral.
GCGAAGGCAGCUACCUGGACGAAUACUGACGCUGAGGUACGAAAGUGUGGGGAGCGAAAGGGAUUAGAUACCCCUGUAGUCCACACCCUAAACGAUGCGCACUAGGUUUCGGAGGAUUCGACCCCUUCGGAGCCCAAGCUAACGCGUUAAGUGCGCCGCCUGAGGACUACGGCCGCAAGGCUAAAACUCAAAGGAAUUGACGGGGGCCUGCACAAGCGGUGGAGCAUGUGGCUUAAUUCGAUGCAACGCGAAGAACCUUACCAAGGCUUGACAUGCAGUGGACCGGCGCAGAGAUGCGCUUUCUCUUCGGAGCUGCUGCACAGGUGCUGCAUGGCUGUCGUCGGCUCGUGUCGUGAGAUGUUUGGUUAAGUCCAGCAACGAGCGCAACCCCUGUCCUUAGUUGCCAGCACGUAAUGGUGGGGACUCUAAGGAGACUAACUGUGUGCAACAGUGGGAAGGUGGGGAUGACGUCAAGUCAGUAUGGCCCUUACGCCUUGGGCUGCACACGUGCUACAAUGCCCGGCACAAUGGGAAGCAAGACCGCGAGGUGGAGCCAAUCCACAAAACCGGGCCCAGUUCGGAUUGGAGUCUGCAACUCGACUCCAUGAAGUCGGAAUCGCUAGUAAUGGCGCAUCAGCAACGGCGCCGUGAAUACGUUCCCAGGCCUUGUACACACCGCCCGUCACAUCAUGAAAGCCGGUUCUGCCCGACGUACGUGAGCUAACUUCGGAGGCAGCGUCCUAAGGUGGGGCUGGUGAUUGGGAUGAAGUCGUAACAAGGUAGCCGUAGGGGAACCUGCGGCUGGAUCACCUCCUU